AAACAGAUCUAAAUGGAUUCC
RNAcentral lists this microRNA (21 nucleotides) under Glycine max (soybean). RNAcentral's name for it is "gma-miR5667-3p". Lineage: Eukaryota; Viridiplantae; Streptophyta; Magnoliopsida; Fabales; Fabaceae. The record is from miRBase by way of RNAcentral.